AUACGUAGGGGACAAGCGUUAUCCGGAUUUACUGGGUGUAAAGGGAGCGUAGGCGGCCAGCCAAGUCAGAAGUGAAAUCCCACGGCUCAACUGUGGGCGUGCUUUUGAAACUGGAGGGCUUGAGUACUGGAGGGGCAAGCGGAAUUCCUGGUGUAGCGGGGAAAUGCAAAGAUAUCAGGAAGAACACCGGAGGCGAAGGCGGCUUGCUGGACAGAGACUGACGCUGAAGCUCGAAAGCGUGGGUAUCAAACAGGAUUAGAUACCCUGGUAGUCCACGCAGUAAACGAUGAUUACUAGCUGUUUGCGAUAAACAGUAAGUGGCACAGCGAAAGCGUUAAGUAAUCCACCUGGGGAGUACGCCGGCAACGGUGAAACUCAAAUGAAUUGGCGGGG
This 393-nucleotide ribosomal RNA is filed under the name uncultured bacterium. Its description in RNAcentral is "partial 16S ribosomal RNA". It matches the Rfam family "Bacterial small subunit ribosomal RNA", at positions 523 to 918 of the family's 1533-position model. The record is from RNAcentral.